UACGUAGGCAGCGAGCGUUGUUCGGAGUUACUGGGCGUAAAGGGUGUGUAGGCGGUUGUUUAAGUUUGGUGUGAAAUCUCCCGGCUCAACUGGGAGGGUGCGCCGAAUACUGAAUGACUUCGAGUGCGGGAGAGGUGAGUGGAAUUCCUGGUGUAGCGGUGGAAUGCGCAGAUAUCAGGAGGAACACCAAUAGCGAAGGCAGCUCGCUGGGACGUUACUGACACUGAGGCGCGAAAGCGUGGGGAGCGAACAGG
RNAcentral lists this ribosomal RNA (254 nucleotides) under uncultured bacterium. RNAcentral's name for it is "partial 16S ribosomal RNA". It matches the Rfam family "Bacterial small subunit ribosomal RNA", at positions 524 to 776 of the family's 1533-position model. The record is from RNAcentral.